RNAcentral lists this long non-coding RNA (485 nucleotides) under Mytilus galloprovincialis (Mediterranean mussel). The record is from RNAcentral. Lineage: Eukaryota; Metazoa; Mollusca; Bivalvia; Mytilida; Mytilidae.
GUUGGAUGUUUAACGCUCAGUGGCAGGAAUUUAAAUCAAUGCAUAUCACGACAAUAUUAGCAUUUAGUUUCCCUUUGUUAAAGGAUUGAUAAGUUAUUGAGAUGAUAAAACUUUAGUAUAUUUCAUUUAUUAUAUCAACACGUCUUUGCACUAACCCAGCACAAAGUUCUACAACACAUGACAGUUGCCAUCUUGGGUGACGGUACAAGGAACCAAUGACCCUAAAUGUUUUCAAUUCUUUCAUGACAUGCUCAACAUAAACACGCCUGCUCUUGUGUAGUCUAUUAAAUUUUCUCAUCCUCCUUUUUUCUCUCGCAUCUGCCCGAAAUUUUUCGGCAGCCUUAUAUGGCACGAUAAGAAGGGGAGUGUGUGGGUAUAUGCUGUCUCCUAAAAUAAAGUACCCCGCUGGAAAGUCUAAAGGUAAACCAGGUCCAAUUGGUCCGAGUUGCUGAUAUGCAUGAGCGUCAAUUACAUGUCCAAGAAAG